Drosophila persimilis is the source of this 157-nucleotide non-coding RNA. Lineage: Eukaryota; Metazoa; Arthropoda; Insecta; Diptera; Drosophilidae. The record is from Rfam.
CACUCUAAGCGGGGGAUCACUCGGCUCAUGGGUCGAUGAUAAACGCAGCAAACUGUGCGUCAUCGUGUGAACUGCAGGACACGUGAACCUCGACAUUUUUGAACGCAUAUCCGCAGUCCAUGCUGUUUGGGUUCUUUCAAUUACAUUUAUAGUGCUG